This 338-nucleotide unclassified non-coding RNA is filed under the name soil metagenome. Its description in RNAcentral is "partial contains 5.8S ribosomal RNA, internal transcribed spacer 2, and large subunit ribosomal RNA". The stretch from base 1 to 120 matches the Rfam family "5.8S ribosomal RNA", at positions 35 to 154 of the family's 154-position model. The record is from RNAcentral.
GAUGAAGAACGUAGCGAAAUGCGAUAAGUAAUGUGGAUUGCAGAAUUCAGUGAAUCAUCGAAUCUUUGAACGCACAUUGCGCCCGGCAGUACUCUGCCGGGCAUGCCUGUUCGAGCGUCAUUUCAACCCUCAAGCCCUGCUUGGUGUUGGGGCCCCACGGCUGCCGUGGGCCCUGAAAGGAAGUGGCGGGCUCGCUACAACUCCGAGCGUAGUAAUUCAUUAUCUCGCUUAGGGCGUUGGGCGGCGCUCCAGCCGUUAAAGAACCAUCUUUAACUCAAGGUUGACCUCGGAUCAGGUAGGAAUACCCGCUGAACUUAAGCAUAUCAAUAAGCGGAGGA